RNAcentral lists this ribosomal RNA (418 nucleotides) under Flexibacter sp. A45. Its description in RNAcentral is "bacterial SSU rRNA". It matches the Rfam family "Bacterial small subunit ribosomal RNA", at positions 28 to 440 of the family's 1533-position model. The record is from RNAcentral. Lineage: Bacteria; Pseudomonadati; Bacteroidota; Cytophagia; Cytophagales; Flexibacteraceae.
GAUGAACGCUAGCGGCAGGCUUAACACAUGCAAGUCGAGGGGUAACAGGAAUAGCUUGCUAUUUGCUGACGACCGGCGAACGGGUGCGUAACGCGUAUAGAAUUUGCCUUGUACAGGAGGAUAGCCUUUAGAAAUGAAGAUUAAUACUCCAUAAUGUUAAUUGAUGGCAUCGUUAAUUAAUUAAAGAUUUAUCGGUACAAGAUGACUAUGCGUCCUAUUAGCUAGAUGGUAAGGUAACGGCUUACCAUGGCAACGAUAGGUAGGGGGUCUGAGAGGAUUAUCCCCCACACUGGUACUGAGACACGGACCAGACUCCUACGGGAGGCAGCAGUGAGGAAUAUUGGUCAAUGGAGGCAACUCUGAACCAGCCAUGCCGCGUGCAGGAAGACUGCCCUAUGGGUUGUAAACUGCUUUUAUA